RNAcentral lists this ribosomal RNA (402 nucleotides) under uncultured bacterium. Its description in RNAcentral is "bacterial SSU rRNA". It matches the Rfam family "Bacterial small subunit ribosomal RNA", at positions 355 to 774 of the family's 1533-position model. The record is from RNAcentral.
UCGGGAAUUUUGGGCAAUGGGCGAAAGCCUGACCCAGCAACGCCGCGUGAGGGAUGAAAUAUUUCGGUAUGUAAACCUCGAAAGAAUGGGAAGAAUAAAUGACGGUACCAUUUAUAAGCUCCGGCUAACUACGUGCCAGCAGCCGCGGUAAUACGUAGGGAGCAAGCGUUGUUCGGAUUUACUGGGCGUAAAGGGCGCGUAGGCGGCGCGGUAAGUCACUUGUGAAAUCUCUGAGCUUAACUCAGAACGGCCAAGUGAUACUGCUGUGCUAGAGUGCGGAAGAGGCAACCGGAAUUCUUGGUGUAGCGGUGAAAUGCGUAGAUAUCAAGAGGAACACCUGAGGCGAAGGCGGGUUGCUGGGCCGACACUGACGCUGAUGCGCGAAAGCCAGGGGAGCAAACG